Molecule: ribosomal RNA, 366 nt
Filed under: uncultured eukaryote
Lineage: Eukaryota
Description: partial 18S ribosomal RNA
Rfam family: Eukaryotic small subunit ribosomal RNA
Source: RNAcentral
CAAUAGCGUAUAUUAACGUUGUUGCAGUUAAAAAGCUCGUAGUUGGAUUUCUGGAGGGAGCGUCGGCCCGUAUUUACGAGUGCGUGACGUCUCUGUCCAUCCUCGCGGGAAGGUACGGCAUUGAUUUGUUGUGUCGGAUCGCAUCAUUUACUGUGAAAAAAUUAGAGUGUUCAAAGCAGGCUUUCGCUUGAAUACAUUAGCAUGGAAUAAUAAGAUAGGACUUUGGUGCUAUUUUGUUGGUUGAGCCUAAAGUAAUGAUUAAUAGGGAUAGUUGGGGGCACCUGUAUUGCGUUGUCAGAGGUGAAAUUCUUGGAUUUACGCAAGACAAACAGCUGCGAAAGCGUCUGCCAAGGAUGUUUUCAUUAA